UGGGGGAUAUUGCACAAUGGGCGAAAGCCUGAUGCAGCGACGCCGCGUGGGGGAUGAAGGCCUUCGGGUUGUAAACUUCUUUUGCUCUGAACAAGGCAUGCUAAUGGGUGUGUUGUGAGUAGGGGUUGAUUAGCGCCGGCUAACUACGUGCCAGCAGCCGAGGUAAUACGUAGGGCGCGAGCGUUGUCCGGAAUUAUUGGGCGUAAAGGGCUUGUAGGUGGCUGGUUGCGUCUGUCGUGAAAGCUCAUGGCUUAACUGGGGGUGUACGGUGGGUACGGGCUGACUUGAGUGCAGUAGGGGAGGGUGGAAUUCCUGGUGUAGCGGUGGAAUGCGCAGAUAUCAGGAGGAAUACCGGUGGCGAAGGCGGGUCUCUGGGCUGUUACUGACGCUGAGGAGCGAAAGCAUGGGGAGCGAACAGG
Molecule: ribosomal RNA, 419 nt
Filed under: bacterium
Lineage: Bacteria
Description: partial 16S ribosomal RNA
Rfam family: Bacterial small subunit ribosomal RNA
Source: RNAcentral